CCUACGGGGGGCAACAGUGAGGAAUAUUGGUCAAUGGACGAGAGUCUGAACCAGCCAAGUAGCGUGAAGGAUGACUGCCCUAUGGGUUGUAAACUUCUUUUAUAUGGGAAUAAAACGUUCCACGUGUGGGAUUUUGUAUGUACCAUAUGAAUAAGGAUCGGCUAACUCCGUGCCAGCAGCCGCGGUAAUACGGAGGAUCCGAGCGUUAUCCGGAUUUAUUGGGUUUAAAGGGAGCGUAGGUGGAUUGUUAAGUCAGUUGUGAAAGUUUGCGGCUCAACCGUAAAAUUGCAGUUGAAACUGGCAGUCUUGAGUACAGUAGAGGUGGGCGGAAUUCGUGGUGUAGCGGUGAAAUGCUUAGAUAUCACGAAGAACUCCGAUUGCGAAGGCAGUUCACUGGACUGCAACUGACACUGAGGCUCGAAAGUGUGGGUAUCAAACAGGAUUAGAUACCCCAGUAGUC
Molecule: ribosomal RNA, 460 nt
Filed under: uncultured bacterium
Lineage: Bacteria
Description: partial 16S ribosomal RNA
Rfam family: Bacterial small subunit ribosomal RNA
Source: RNAcentral